Lycium ferocissimum is the source of this 971-nucleotide RNA transcript. It is a transcript of the gene named probable inactive nicotinamidase At3g16190, with no coding region annotated. NCBI's taxonomy places the organism in Eukaryota, Viridiplantae, Streptophyta, Magnoliopsida, Solanales, Solanaceae. The transcript is spliced from 6 exons. The record is from RefSeq and is a predicted model, not a curated record.
CAAGACCAACCCUCUUCUUAGUUUGCUUGGUUGCUCUCUCUGGAAAAUUAAAUUCAAAGUUCGUAACAGCAAAUUAAAUGGCCUUGGAAGAUGGUGGCAAAUGGAAGAACGUUGCUCUCCUUGUCAUAGACAUGCAGAAAGACUUUAUAAGUGGCCCUGUGCAAGUAAAAGGAGGUCAAGCUAUCGUCCCCAAUGUUAUCAAGGCUGUUGAGGUUGCAAGAAACUGUGGCAUUCACAUCGUUUGGGUUGUACGAGAGCAUGAUCCAUUGGGGAGAGAUGUUGAAUUAUUCCGUCGACACUUUUAUACUGCUGGAAAAACAAAGGUGGCAUCAAAGGGAAGUGUGGGUGCUGAACUAGUUGAUGGGCUCGUUAUUGAGGAUGAUGAUUACAAGCUGGUCAAAACACGUUUCAGUGCAUUUCUUAACACUCACCUUCAUUCAUAUCUUCAGACCAACGGCAUAACUAGUUUGGUCAUCACUGGUGUCCAAACUCCAAAUUGCAUACGGCAAACUGUGUUUGAUGCAGUGUCAAUGGACUAUAAGCAUGUGACAGUUAUUACUGACGCCACAGCUGCUGCUACGCCUGAUGUACACACUGGAUUCUUGUGAUCUUGGGUUUUCCAUCAUUCCUCUUGAUUGCUAUAAGUUGGAUGGGCUCUCAAGUCCUUUCUGGAUGUUCCUGCUAUAUAGGUGGUUUCAGCUUUAUUACUCCCUAUGUCCCUUUGCUCAAUAUCUCUAGCCAACAUAUUUGACAUGAAAAACAUCGGAGUGGCGACCCCUACAUUAGAAGAAUGGUGCCGAUCUACAGAGCAAAUCAUUUAAACUCAGCAUAUCUAAUUUCCUUCAAGCAUGUGUGUAAUUCAAGUUUGAAUGCAUGUGAAAACAUGUGAAUUUUAUGGAAUUAAUAUCCAUAUCAAAUUUGGAUAAAUUCUUAAAGUCCAGAAAUAUAUAUUAAGCCCAAGUCAAAAUUAA